Molecule: ribosomal RNA, 360 nt
Filed under: Triticum aestivum (bread wheat)
Lineage: Eukaryota; Viridiplantae; Streptophyta; Magnoliopsida; Poales; Poaceae
Description: partial small subunit ribosomal RNA
Source: RNAcentral
AUGGAGGAGGAACUCCCGUCGUCAAACUCUGAUAGUGCAGAAGGUGCUAAUGUGAUUAAGGUUGAUUUGUUUUUCUUUGCUGUUACAAUUUUACGCACGAACCGUGCGAAAUGUGACAAGCCAAUGUUUCAAAAUCGCGAAUGUGAUGCCAAUGUUGGUUCUAUUGCUAAAGCAUUUGUCCCCACUGGCAUGCUCAACUCAGACAGUGCUGACGUUGUUUUUUAUUCUCUAUGUCAUAAGUAUCGAGACACUGACAAGUUGAUAGUUCCCAGAUGGGUGACGCUUCUUUUCCCUACUUUUGAUCCACCGUCAUUUGCGGCUGCCAUGAAGCCUAGUGACGAAUCUGUCAUUGGUGCUUGA